Molecule: ribosomal RNA, 253 nt
Filed under: uncultured bacterium
Lineage: Bacteria
Description: partial 16S ribosomal RNA
Rfam family: Bacterial small subunit ribosomal RNA
Source: RNAcentral
UACAGAGGAUGCAAGCGUUAUCCGGAAUGAUUGGGCGUAAAGCGUCUGUAGGUGGCUUUUUAAGUCCGCCGUCAAAUCCCAGGGCUCAACUCCGGGUCGGCCGUCGAUACUUCCGGGCUUGAGCACUGUAGAGGCAGAUGGAAUUCCGGGUGUAGCGGUGGAAUGCGUAGAGAUCCGGAAGAACACCGGUGGCGAAGGCGGUCUGCUGGGCAGUUGCUGACGCUGAUGCGCGACAGCGUGGGGAGCAAACAGG